Small nuclear RNA from Callithrix jacchus (white-tufted-ear marmoset), 103 nucleotides. NCBI's taxonomy places the organism in Eukaryota, Metazoa, Chordata, Mammalia, Primates, Cebidae. The record is from Ensembl.
GCUCACUCUGGCAGCACACGCUGAAGCCGAAAUGCGAUGGAGAAGAUUAGCGUGGCCCCUGCACAGGGACGACAUGCAAAUUCAUGAAGUGUUCACAUCUUUA